Molecule: ribosomal RNA, 542 nt
Filed under: uncultured archaeon
Lineage: Archaea
Description: bacterial SSU rRNA
Rfam family: Bacterial small subunit ribosomal RNA
Source: RNAcentral
CAGCCGCCGCGGUAACACGUAGAGGGCGAGCGUUGUCCGGAAUUAUUGGGCGUAAAGGGCGCGUAGGUGGUUUUGUGUGUCCAAUGUGAAAGGCGUCGGCUUAACCGGCGAAUUGCGUUGGAAACUACAGAACUUGAGUGCAGGAGAGGGGAGUGGAAUUCCUGGUGUAGCGGUGGAAUGCGUAGAUACCAGGAGGAACACCGGUGGCGAAGGCGGCUCCCUGGACUGUAACUGACACUGAGGCGCGAAAGCGUGGGUAGCGAACGGGAUUAGAUACCCCGGUAGUCCACGCCGUAAACGAUGGGUACUAGGUGUUGGGGGUUCGACCCCCCCGGUGCCGCAGUUAACGCAUUAAGUACCCCGCCUGGGGAGUACGACCGCAAGGUUGAAACUCAAAGGAAUUGACGGGGGCCCGCACAAGCGGUGGAGCAUGUGGUUUAAUUCGACGAUACGCGAAAAACCUUACCGAGGCUUGACAUCCCUCGCUAGCCUAGGAAACUAGGUGUUCCCUUCGGGGACGAGGUGACAGGUGGUGCAUGGCC